AACGAACGCUGGCGGCAGGCCUAACACAUGCAAGUCGAGCGCCCUUUUCGGGGUGCGGCGGACGGGUGUGUAUCGCGUGUGAAUAUGUGCUUUUCUACUGGAUAUCCCCCGGAAACUCUUAUUCUUAUCGUAUAUGUCCCCUUGGGGAAAGAUUUAUGUCGGCAGUAUUAGCCCGCGUUGGUUUAUGUCUUUUUUAUGGUAAUGGUCUACCAAGGCGACGAUCAGUAGCUGGUUUGAGAGGAUGAUCAGCCACAGUGGGACUGAGACACGGCCCAAACUCCUACGGGAAGCAGCAGUGGGGAAUCUUGCACAAUGGGGGAAAGCCUGACGUAGCCAUGCCGCGUGAAUGAUGAAGGUCUUAGGAUUGUAAAAUUCUUUCAGCGGGGAAGAUAAUGACGGUACCAGCAGAAGAAGCCCCGGCUAACUCCGUG
This 431-nucleotide ribosomal RNA is filed under the name uncultured bacterium. RNAcentral describes it as "partial 16S ribosomal RNA". It matches the Rfam family "Bacterial small subunit ribosomal RNA", at positions 29 to 507 of the family's 1533-position model. The record is from RNAcentral.